Nymphaea colorata (pocket water lily) is the source of this 385-nucleotide long non-coding RNA. RefSeq lists it as uncharacterized. NCBI's taxonomy places the organism in Eukaryota, Viridiplantae, Streptophyta, Magnoliopsida, Nymphaeales, Nymphaeaceae. The record is from RefSeq and is a predicted model, not a curated record. The transcript has 4 exons.
GGGGCAAUGGCUGGACCGGCGGCGGCGACGGCAGUGGUAGAGGUGGCCGCGGCGGCAGCGUGGGUUUCCAGCUUGGGGAACGUGUUUUUCUCCUCUUAGCAGCGAUUAGGCGGUGUUGGUGGUGGCGGCACUGCACGAUUGGUGCCGUUGAAGUUUGAUUGAACGUUUGAAGGGGGCUGUCGGAGGCGUUACAGCAGUUUGGACACUUGGAUUGGGGUACACCGGGCACAUCCCGUCGACCUUGAGUUCGAAGCUCAAGGAAUUUUGAGGAGUUUUGUGAGCGUGCCACAAGUUUUGGUAGAUCCGGGGCAGCAGGUUGAGCAGAUGGCUUCACUCACGUCCUACUGGGGAGGUUUUGGGUUGUGUCUUUUGUAGUGCCGGCGCG